RNAcentral lists this ribosomal RNA (248 nucleotides) under Salmonella enterica. RNAcentral's name for it is "partial 23S ribosomal RNA". It matches the Rfam family "Bacterial large subunit ribosomal RNA", at positions 769 to 1014 of the family's 2925-position model. Lineage: Bacteria; Pseudomonadati; Pseudomonadota; Gammaproteobacteria; Enterobacterales; Enterobacteriaceae. The record is from RNAcentral.
GAGGACCGAACCGAAUAAGGUUGAAAAAGUAGCGGAUGACCUGUGGCUGGGGGUGAAAGGCCAAUCAAACCGGGAGAUAGCUGGUUCUCCCCGAAAGCUAUUUAGGUAGCGCCUCGUGAACUCAUCUCCGGGGGUAGAGCACUGUUUCGGCUAGGGGGCCAUCCCGGCUUACCAACCCGAUGCAAACUGCGAAUACCGGAGAAUGUUAUCACGGGAGACACACGGCGGGUGCUAACGUCCGUCGUGAA